UGAAGGAAGAGCUGUUGACAGAGAAAAC
Molecule: non-coding RNA, 28 nt
Filed under: Homo sapiens (human)
Lineage: Eukaryota; Metazoa; Chordata; Mammalia; Primates; Hominidae
Source: RNAcentral